This is a non-coding RNA of Phascolarctos cinereus (koala), 1959 nucleotides long. Lineage: Eukaryota; Metazoa; Chordata; Mammalia; Diprotodontia; Phascolarctidae. The record is from RefSeq and is a predicted model, not a curated record.
CUUCUCCCCCACCCCCCUCCACCCCAGGCGCGCUUCUGCUCCUGAUUUACCGGCCUCCAGUUUUGACGUCCAACAGGCUAAAUCUAACAAUUCAGCCAACAGUGUGGUGUAUUGGGAAGCUUGCUCAGGACCUGAGUUCAAAUCUUGGCUCUACUGUUUACAAGCUGUAUGUGUGAUGUUGGCCAAACCAUCUCAACCCACUGGUCUUCAAUUUCGUCAUCUAGCUACCCACUGCCUAUCACCUGAUCUUGCUGUGGCCUUGAGGAGGGACUUUGGGUAAGACAUUGUUUGUCUUUGACUCCCUGAAACCACAGGAGAGAUAACGGUGGUCUGGCCAGAAGAGGCAGAAUGCUCUCUGGACUCAGAGGUCAAGGUCCUCCCUGGAAGCUCAACUCUGUGUCUCUGCUCAGUCCUGGAAGCCAAGCCUUUGAGCCCUCUCCCUGCCUGGAACGCCUUGUCCUGCUCACCCUGUUCUUCCAACCUUCAAUACUCUAUCUUCUCAGUAACUCCUUUGAAGCUGGGUGAGGGACUUUUGUAUCAGUUUCUUAGCUCUCCUAGACUCAUAGCCUGGCUGGGUCAGCUUAGAAGUAACUAGGAAAUCCCUUCCCCUCUCUAGGCCUCCAUUUUCUCAUUUGUAAAACGAGGGGGAAAGUUGAAUUAGAUGCCUGCUAAGGUCAGUUUCCACUCUGGUUUUCUGUGAUCACAUAAUUUGUUCCAUGUUUCUUUCCUUUGAAAGGGGUUUGUCUCCUGGGAAUCUGAAGACAGGGAACAAAUCCCCUAAUCUCCAUGAUCAUCUUCCUUGACUCUUAACUGGACCCUGUUUACUAACCAGAUUAAAUGUUUGGAAAACUUUUUACCCUGGAGGGCCUGAAUUCAGUUACACUGAUUCAAUGAAGCAACCAUGUAUUCAGAAUCUACUGAAGGGGGAAAUUUUGUCCAUGUAAAAAUAUAUAUCAAUAAAAUUUUAAAAAUAUGUUUUUAAAAUAAAAGAGCUUAUACUGAGUUAUAGGAUGUCGGCUCAGUCCUGGAACUCUUGCUUCUUUCCUUGGGACCUGGGGCAAUCCACUUAAUAUUUUAAGGCCUGCUUUUCCUCUUUUGUGAAAGAAUGAAUGAAAAAAUAUUUAAUAGGGGUUUACUAUGUGUCAAGACCAGUGUGUCAUAGAAUGAAGAGCUCGGGUUUGAAAACAUCUGAGGUCCCUUCCGACACUAAAUCUGAGUCACCCAUGAUUCUACUAAAAGGGACUUUGGGGAACACAAGGUAAAUGAGGCACCUGCCCUCCCUGCAGUGUUUUUCAGUCCAGUAAGGAGGAAGGUUACUACAUUUCUAAAUUAUAGGAUAAAGACUUUCCCUAAAGGGCUCAAUGCUGGAUUGGAGAGGUGAAUUAAGGCAAUUGAGGUCUUUUGAAUGCCUUCAAGUUACAGAUUAUCUACCUUCUCUGAUGGAAAGGAAUCACAGAAAGUUAGAGCUGGAAGGAAUCUUUGAAUAUAGACUGUUGGAAUUGAGAGGGCCCAUACAGCAGAGACAGAACGCAAAAUGUCAGAGCUGGGAUAGACCUUGAUCACAGAGUGUCAGCGCCUAGAGUGGCUUCAGAACAUAACAUGUAGAAUAUAGAAUUUUAGAGCUGGAGAAUAUAGAGACAGAAUAUCAGCUGGCAGAGACUUUAGAAUAUAGAAUGGACAUGGAGAGUGGAGAAAGGCCAUGGGAUGUAGUGAAUAGAACCCUAGAUUCUGUCAGGAGAUUCUAAUGUCAGUUUCAGCUCUAAGACUUGUACUCUGUGGCCACAGAAGGGUCAUUUGACCUUGCUAAGCAUCAGACAGAUUUGAAUAUUUCAAAAUCCAAAACCUUCUUUCUUAUACCAGCUAACAGAAUUGCUCUGCUCUUACUGUCAAAAUCAUCUCCUAAUUCACCUAGAUAUAAAUAUUAGCAAUGCUUUUAAAAAGACACUUUCAUAAACCUCA